Molecule: transfer RNA, 83 nt
Organism: Trichoplax adhaerens
Lineage: Eukaryota; Metazoa; Placozoa; Uniplacotomia; Trichoplacea; Trichoplacidae
Rfam family: tRNA
About the family: Transfer RNA (tRNA) molecules are approximately 80 nucleotides in length. Their secondary structure includes four short double-helical elements and three loops (D, anti-codon, and T loops).
Source: Rfam
ACCAGGAUGGCCGAGUGGUUAAGGCGUUGGACUUAAGAUCCAAUGUGCAGAUGCACGCGUGGGUUCGAACCCCACUCCUGGUA